GCAUAACGCGAAGAACCUUACCAGGCCUUGACAUGCAGAGAACUUUCCAGAGAUGGAUUGGUGCCUUCGGGAACUCUGACACAGGUGCUGCAUGGCUGUCGUCAGCUCGUGUCGUGAGAUGUUGGGUUAAGUCCCGUAACGAGCGCGAACCCUUGUCCUUAGUUACCAGCACGUCAUGGUGGGCACUCUAAGGAGACUGCCGGUGACAAACCGGAGGAAGGUGGGGAGUGACGUCAAGGUCAUCAUGGCCCUUACGGCCUGGGACUACACACGUGCUACAAUGGUCGGUACAGAGGGUUGCCAAGCCGCGAGGUGGAGCUAAUCUCACAAAACCGAUCGUAGUCCGGAUCGCAGUCUGCAACUCGACUGCGUGAAGUC
Molecule: ribosomal RNA, 378 nt
Filed under: uncultured bacterium
Lineage: Bacteria
Description: bacterial SSU rRNA
Rfam family: Bacterial small subunit ribosomal RNA
Source: RNAcentral